UGCAGAUUCUGAUAAUAAUUUUUCUUAAAGACAAAGACCAAAAAUGUAUUUUUGUUGAUGUAUUAGAUUUGCUUUAGAGUAAAAUCAAGAUACAAUGUCUCAUAUGCCCCAAAACUGCUUUGGCAUAAAUUUAUCAUGUUUGGAUGUCCAAAAGGAAAGUUAUUCAAGAUAAGAUAAAAAAAACCAUGAAUAUUAUAAAAAUAAAAAUUGUUUGAGCCAUUUUAGUUAUCAAAGUCAUUCUAAUUACCCACCUAUUUAUAAACUGAACUGAAAUUAAUGAAUCAGCAUUAAUGUUGUGAAUAUGGAAGUUGUGAGAAAAUAUACAGCAUUAAAAAAAACUGGUUGGUCCAAUGGUAGUAGGUUAUCAGAACUUACUAUUACUGUCACUAAUGGUGAUACACAACCCCCACUGCUAAAUUUGACUGCCUUUUAAAAAAACUAUCUCAUAUUAAUUUGCUAUUAAACUUCUGGUCAACAAGUAUACUAAAACUUAAACAGUAUCCUUGUUUCAGUUCCCAGGGGAACAGAAAUCACACAUUUACAGUUGAAGGUUGUAUUUCUGUCCAUAUCUUCUUCUGGUCUUAUAAAUGUGCUUCCCCUUACUCAUCCCCCAUAUGUAUGAUUUUAUUACAACAUAGUUACAAGAAUAAAAUGUACAAAUCUUAAGUGUACAUCUCAAUGAAUAAAUACACACCCUUUCGAUGUUUUAUAUGGCCAGCUGCUAGUUAACUUAAGCUUAGAGCACACCAUGGUGAGAUACAGGAGACAGAACUGGGUCAAAGAGCUUUACUCUGUUCAAUGAUCUCAGACUGCCCCCAAUCCUAGGCAAUCAAGAAUGGUGGGGCCAGGGAGGGGACACCCGCAAGGAAGGAUUGGGUUAAUAAGGCAGAAUAAACCAUGGGGAAAAAUUACCAGUAAUGAACCAUCUGUUGUUUAGUCUGCCUGGCAUCCAUCUUUAUUUUGGGCUAACAGCCCCUUUUCUAUGCCACACCCCAGGCGGUCCUGGUGAAUACUAGUUUACAGCAGUGGUUCCCUACCAAGGGUAAGUUCUCGCCCUCCUCAAGGAACACUUAACAAUGUCUAGAGAUAUUUGUUUUUUCACACCUCAGAAGGGCAGUGCUAUUGGCAAGUAGAAUGCUAUUAAAUAUUCAACAGUGUAUAAAAGGCAGUCCAUCACAACUAAGAAUCAUCUGGCCAAAAACGUCAAUAGUGUCAAGGCUGAGAAACCCUGGUUUCCAAAAAAUGAGACCUUUACACAAGCAGAGUGCACCAGAAUUUCUCCAAAAAAUAGGUGGGUGUAGAAAAAAAAUGAAUUUCCUUCUUAUUCUUAGAUUGUGACUAUGGUUUUCUCUAACCACCUUAUGCUAGUGACUGGAAAGGGCCAAACUGAUCCAGAUGUCCUUGUGAGCAGAAAAAAACUAGAAAAAUAAAAAAUAAAAAAUUCUAAACACUCAACUGAGAAUUGAACAAGUCAAGGUGUGGAGAACUGAGUAACUCAGAAACAGCAUCUUAACAACAUCAUUUGAGCCUUAAGGAUCCAGUCAACCCUGACCUCAGACUUCAUCCCUACAUAAACCAAUAAAUUCCAAUUUUGCUUAACAGUAGAUUGAGUUGGGUUUCCUUAGCAACCCUAGCAACUCAAAAUCAAGACAAGCACACAUACUGAAAAACAAUUCAAAUCAUGUGUUCCAUUACGGAAGGGGCAUGGCAAUAUCACUUUAAAGUCUGGAUUAAUAUCAGUUGUAUUACUAAAGAAAAAUAAAUUACACAAUCAUAUACAUAGUGCUUACUGCUUAUAUGUUACUAGGAUAAUGUGAGCAUUACAUACCUAUCUCCUAAGUGUCAUAAUGAUCCAAAGGGGCAAAUUUAAUUACUUUCAUUUCACAAAGGAGGUUACACGCUCAGAGGGUAAAAAAUGUCUGUCAUACUGCUUUGCUACUAAGUGGUAGAGUUGGGAUGCCCAAUCAGAUCUCUCUGGCUCAUAGACCAUGCUUGCCUUCUUUUUGAAUGAUUUGGAAAGGCAUUCAAAAAACCCUUUACUUUAUACCUUUCAAUCCCUCCAAAUUAACAGAUAUUUAAAGGGAAAGAUUUCUUUAGUGACUUUUACUGUGGAUCAUAAUAGAGGACAGAAAAACUUAAGUAGCUUGACAUUAAUUAGCCAAGUCAUUUUAAAAAUUUCAUUUCCAAGAAAUGAAUUCCCUUGUAACUUCCUAAAAGAGGUAGAGUAUUAUCUCUGUCAUUUCCUUAGGUUCAACUCUUUUAAAGUUUCUAAAAUUGUGCCUAUUCACUGACUUACCCAUCUUGUUUGAGAACACUUACCUCUUUGUGUACACCAGUUACGUAUUCCACGAUAUUGCACAGAAAGGAUUCUAUCAGAGUCAGUAUUCUUUUAAAAAGUUUGUAUGGUCAACACCAAAAGACAAGUUAUUUCAGGCCCCGGGGCCUAUAGAUUUUCCCAUUGGUAACCACUUUCUCUAAGACAGGGGUUCUCAAAUAGUGGUCCUCAGACCAGCAACAUCAACUUCACCUGGGAAUUUUAAGAAAUGGAAAUUCUUGGCCCCAAUACAGAACUUCUGAGUCCAAAACCCAGGGUGGGGAAUCAGCAAUCUGUUUGAACAAGUUCUUCGGGCAAGUCUCAGACACUCUCAAGUUUGCUCUAAGUGGUAAGAUGACUCAGACUCCAACACCUACAUCCUCAGAGAAAUCAAUCUAUGCAGACUCCCAAAGUAAACUCUUGGGAGACAGGAGGACGACCUGGCAACAGUGGCAGUAACAGCCUGCACAUCACAUGACUUAGUAGGUACUUUGGUACAUUUAUGGGAUCCAAUGCUAGUUGCACACUUAUCACACAACGGAUUUUCUGACGGCCAUAUGAUUUAUGUGAGGGUGAAGACAGAAUAUAAAAAAACAAAACAUAAUACAGAUGCUCCUUGACUUAUGAUGGGGUUAUACCCUGAUAAAUCAUCAUAAGCUGAAAAUAUCAUAAGUCAAAAAGGCAUUUAAUACAACUAACCUAUCCUUACAUAAGUUGAAAUACAUUAAUACACCUAACCUAACCUAAUCUGCCCAGCAUCACAAAAGUACUCCAUACCAGUAGCCCAGAAUAGGUCAAAAUUCAAAAUUUAAAGUACGGUUUCUACUGAACGCAUAUUCAUUUUGCACCAUCGUAAAGUCAAUUUUAAGUUGAAUGAUUGUAGGUCAGGGACCAUCGGUAUAGCUACUUUUAUAUAUCUAUCUUUUGUAUCUACUAAAUUAUAUCUUACAUUUUAUUCACAAUUUAAAAGUUGGUGAGUAAACAUUUUAUAUUCAUUUCACUUCAAAAACCUUAAACCUAACAAUACAUUUGUCUUUUAAGUAAUCUGUGCUUACGUUUUUUUCCUAGACAUCAGUGGCCCUUUUUGGAUAAAAUGAUUCCAUCCCCUAUGCAUGUCCUUUUUAGUAUCAAUGCAACUAUCUAAGAAAUGAAAAGAUGACCUACCAGUAUGAAAGGACAAGGUACACUAUAAAUUCAAUCUCCAUAGACUUCAUUUCGGAAAUUUUGAUCUCAAUAAGCUAAGUUAAGAAAGACAUCAU
Molecule: long non-coding RNA, 3573 nt
Filed under: Homo sapiens (human)
Lineage: Eukaryota; Metazoa; Chordata; Mammalia; Primates; Hominidae
Description: HSALNT0210853
Rfam family: Y RNA (bases 341-431)
Source: RNAcentral